Long non-coding RNA from Homo sapiens (human), 2993 nucleotides. RefSeq annotates it as long independently transcribed non-coding RNA 1013. Lineage: Eukaryota; Metazoa; Chordata; Mammalia; Primates; Hominidae. The record is from RefSeq and is marked validated. The transcript has 6 exons.
CAAUGCCCUUUCCUGUGACCACUAUCAAGAACUGCUCAGGAUUCCUGCCAGCCUGUUAGCCUUUAUCGUUCAGUCAUUUUAGACCUCAAAAAGAACAUUCCAUCAAGGGAUCAGGUUCUAUCAUCUCACUGGAAUGCAAUUUAAGACAUCAUCUCCAGAAAACUGUGCUAGUUGGCAUCCAGCAGUGCCCAAGUAUUAUUUAACCCACUAGAACCUGUGACUGCAUCAGCUUUAUAUCCUGGACCUCAGCCUGGAACAAAGGAGAGCUACACUUGGAUACUAAACACAAGUGGUCUGGAUAGAUUAUGCUGGGAAAAGAAGCCUGGAGCAGGCAGUACAGUGGGAGAACAAGACAGAAGUGCUUGCCUUGGUGAUCCAAAAAAGGCAGGAUCCGGCCGGGGGCAAGGUGAUUAUUCUGUCUGAUGAGGAGAAUAAGAGCCAGUUUGUGGUAUUGACAGAAGAAUGAAAGUAAAGUCUUGAAAGAUGGGAAGAUCAGGAGCAGUCUGGAGUCAUGGUAUAUGAAUGAACUAGUGAGAGUGGGCACAAAGUCUGAAGAUCUUUGUAGUGCAGCUAAUGUCUAAGGGAGAAUAUACCUACCCUAGAAGAGACAUUAAACAACCAGGUUGUCUCUUCAUUCUGUUGAUUGUUUCCUUUGUUGUAAAAGAAACUCACUUUACAGGAAAAGAGGUGCAACAGUGGCUGGAUGAUUAUAAGAUCGACUGUUCCUAUUAAAAACUACACCAUCCAAAAGAGGCUGCCAUUGAAGAGCAAUAAAGUAGUUCAUAGAAGGCAUAGGAAGCUUACUGCAGGAAAGAAAUCCCUCAGAGUCCUGAAGAUACAGCUUUCAGAACUUAGGUGAAGCAAGAGGACUCAAGGUGUGCAAGAAUGGACAGUACAGAAUGCUCUGCUACACUGCUCAGAUUCCCCCUUCAGGAAGGAAGGACAAAUUCACUCAACUUCUGGGAGCAUUGAUGGUUGAGCUCUCAGCCAUCAGACCUUUUUGGAAGUUGCCCUCUUCUGAAAAGAGGCACAUUGCCCAAGAUCUUUCCUCCUCCAGAGCGCAGGCUGCACCUGAAGUCUGAUUGAUGUGGGGUAUGAUGGUCUGGUCUCCUUUCCCCAUCUAAAGGACUGUUCUAACCUCAGGGCUCUCCUUGAGUUUCCUUAGUUAGUUCUUAUUACUAUGUUGCAGUCCAACUUCUUCUUUGGCCUAAUUCUACUUUCCUCCCAUUCCCCAAUUGUUGAUCCUGACAGCAAUUUCCCCCCAAAUUUCUGUAAACUAAGCAUGAUCUCAGAGUCACCUGACCUGCAACAUUAUUACAUACACUAUAGUCCGUGCACUUAAAGAUUUAGUGAAAGUAUGCUGCUGAAGCUUGCCAGAACUUCCCUUCUUCCACUGAAAAUUUGUCUGUUCAUAGAUAUACACCAUUCGUUCUCUUCUCUACUUUGGCCAAUUAUCUUAUGUUUGGGAAGGUGUUCUGCUAGAAGACAAAAUAGCAAUUCUUAGAACUAGAAAGAAAAACACAUCAAAGUCUGUCCUUUCUUAUGUCUUUUCUAUCUACAACAAAUACCCUGUGAUAAAAAGGAUGAUAGGAAAUAUAAGUAGUUUGAGUCCACCAAAUAUUUGGCUUGAAGUAUUUGGGUAUGAAAUACAAACUCACUUGACCUGGGCUCAAAUUUGCCAGCACUUCUUUUCUUUCUUCUCUUUUCAGAAACAGACUUUAUUUAUAUCAAUGUUAACAUCAAUCACAUAACCAUCAGGAAGGCUGUAACUUUGAUUUUUUUUUGUCCAAUAGUUGGGCCAAGUUUACAUUUCUCUUAUUUUAUUUAUUUAUUAUUAUUAUUUUUUUGAGAUGGAGUCUUACUCUGUCACCCAGGCUGGAGUGCAAUGGCGUCAUCUCAGCUCACUGCAACCUCCGCCUCCUGGGUUCAAACAAUUCUCCUGCCUCAGCCUCCUGAGAAGCAGGGAUUACAAGUGUGUGCCACCACGCCCGGCUAAUAUUUGUACUUUCAGUAGAGAACGGGGGUUUCACCAUGUUGCUCAGGUGGUCCCGAACUCCUGACCUUGCGAUCCACCCGCCUUGAACUCCCAAAGUGCUGGGAUUACAGGUGUGAGCCACCGUGCCUGGACCAUUUCUUUUCUCAUAUAUCAGCCUAUGCCAGGGGGGAGACUGGCUGAGGUUAAAGGCUAAUGUCAAGUACUAACUGAACAACAAAUGGAUAACCUCAACAAUGCAAUAUCCUGGUUGAAAUUGUUAGUGAAUUUUUUUAGCAGACCUGAGAUCUAUGUAUCUCCAUUCAACAAGUAAAGGUAGACUAUUUCCUUAAAUGCAAAUUCCUAUAAAAAAUAUCAGAAGUAUGUUAUGUAUUUAAAGUUAAAAAGCAUAUAACUUUUUAAAUGUUUAAUAAAAUUCACCAGUAUACACCAUCAUUUUCAUUGAGAAAAGGUUUAUAAUCAUGAAUUCUAUUUAUUUAAUAAUAUUAUUCAAUAUUUUUCUUUCAUUUUUGUUAAUUUGAUUUGUUAUGGCUUCUCAAAAAAAGCUUGUCCUUUUCAUCUAAUUUGUUCAAUUUAUUUUCAUGAAACCGGUCACAUACUUAAUCUUUCAUUGCUUCUUAUAUAACCAAAUUUCCAUCCGGUACCAUUUACUCUGAGCCAAAGAACCAGAAGCCAAAAGAACUUCCUGUAGCAUUUCCUGUAAUACAUAUCUGCUGAUUAACACUUUUCUAGGUUGACAAGUUAUAUAGUUGUCUUUCAUUUAGUUUAAAGAUGUUGUUCCAUUGUCUUCUCAUUUUCAUUGUUUCUGAUGAGAGGUCAGCCUUGUUUCUUAUUAUUGGUCCUCUGCAUUUAAUGUGUAAUAUGUCUUUUCUUCUCUUGCUUUUCAAAUGUUCUGUUUAAUUCUGAUUUUCAGCAGUUUAAUAUAAUGUCCAUUGCUUGUUUUUUGCUUAGAUUCCUGAAAUUAUGUGUGGGUUUUUAAAUAAAGUUUGAAAAUUUCUAA